CCACAGCAAUGCAGGAUUCAAACCACGUCUGUGACCUACACCACAGCUCACAGCAAUGCCAGAUCCUUAACCCACUUUGCAAGGCCGGGGAUUGGAUCCACGUCCUCCUGGCUACUAGUCAGGUUCAUUUACUGCUGAGCCAUGAUGGGAAAUCCAAAAAAUCAACUCCAAUAUAAAUUUCUUCAUAACUCAGUGAGUCUUUAUUUAGGUAGUGUAUGAUCUGUUAGUGCAAGAUACUAAAUGCAUCAGAAAAAUUCUUUAGAAAAAUAACCCUGUGAUAUUUAUUGAAACAGAGGAAUUCUUCUAGAAUGUGUAUCUCUAUCCUCAUUUUUCAGCUUGGGCAAGUUAGGCAUUUAUAUACUAUGUACACCUAUAUUCAAAUAAAAAGUUUACAUAUAUUUCUUUUUUCCUAGGUAUUCAUUAUGAAAUAUGUCACAAAGGGGAACAAGGAGUGAAAAAAUAACCUGUACACCAUGUGAUAAUUCAUCUGGCUUUGUUGGAAACGUAAAAAAACUUGUACAAUGACAGGCUGCUAAAAACAGCUAAUGAUAUUACUUUGUUUAUUUUGUUUCUUCAAGAUGUGCUGCAAUGUGGAGCUUCUCACAGGGUAUUUCUGAGAAGACUUUUUUUUUCCCUUCACUCAAGAACCAGAAUAAUUCCCUCCUGACACUGUUUGUGCCUAUAAGCACCAUCUCCAUGAUGCUGCCACCAUUAACAGAGCAAUUAGGAACUAUCAUGGUCUCAAAUUCUGCUAAGUGAUGAGACUCUACCUCAUAAAGUGUUCAUUAGAGGACAAAUUACCAUUUUUUAAAUAGAGUAAACAUCUUCUCAAAAUAUAUCUUUUCUGAUCUUCUUUGCCAAAAUCUCAGGUUUGUUUACUACUUCUAUUCAUUAUUAUAGUCAUUAGGACUAGUUCAGCUUGGAAGUGGUCAUGUUCUGAAUAUGAUUUUUUGAGCAUUAACUCAAAAUUCAAAAAAUAUCUUUGUGAUAUUUCUUUGAAUAGGCAGGGAUGGCAUCACCCAAAGCUACAUGUCAGUGCAUUCAGUGGAUAUGGGCAGAUCAGUUAAUAUGCAGUUGAGAGUGCACUUAACAAGCAUAGUUAUCUGGUUCUAUGUAGAGUUUUGCUACUUCACUGGAAUGAACAGAAUGUAUAUAUCUAUAUCUGUCAACUUUUUUUGUUGCAGAGGAACACAUCUCUCUGCAUGAAAAUUAAAAAUAUGUAAACAAACUAAAAAAUUAAAAACAUAAAAUAGCCCAGGUUAUGCUAAAAUUUAUAAAGUUCUAUGUUUUUGCUAUGUUAAUUAAUACCUUCUAUAACCAAUUCUCUAUUUUUGCUACUAUAUUUCAGAUCUGGUUUUUACUUACACAUUGGAGGGAGCCUGAUGUGUUCAGACAAUGAUCAUUUCUACCCAGAUCAACAACAGGAUUCAAUAAAUAAAGAGCUGAAUAUCAAGAAAGAGAUUUAGGGUAGCCUGAUCAAAGAGAAUUUCUAAUUUGAGUGUUUCUCAUUUUACAUGCAUGUUUGUAAAGUUUUAAAGAAUGUUUACUACUAAAUUGCCAAGACAAAUUAAAAGUAUUAUUGACUCAGAGGGCUGGGAUGUUUUAAGGUUUUCCAAUUCUCGCCUUCUCUCUUUCACUUUAAAUUUUCUCAGUAAGGACUCUGCAAUUCCUGUCAACCUGUGAAGUACUCAGUCUGAGCUCUCCUGAUAGCAUACAAAGCCGGAGGCAAGCCCACACUCUAAAACAGGCUUGCUUCAAUUUUAUACUCCAUUUAACACUUCAUUUUUAUGCUCAAACUUCAUUUUAGUCUGCUGUGUUAAAUUUCUAGCAUCUACCUGAUUUGGGCCAUGGAUUUGAAUGCAAAAGUUACAAAAGAUACUUUGGGUAAAUCUUGGUUUCAAUACCCAAGAAGGGCAGGGAUGAGAGCCCUAUGUUUAUAACUAUGGAAAAAAUCGAGUUUUAAAACUAAGGGCCGUAAAACACACAUAGGGAGCCUAACUUCAAAAGGAGCUACAAAAUAUACUCUAAAAAUAGUGGGAGUUUCACAGCAGAUGGUCCAUAGAUCAUUUGAUUGAUAUGCAAUGCCAAGGGGAGCUGUUGGGGAAAAAAUAUAUGUAGUAGGUGUGCCUGGAAAUUAUACAGAUACUUAAAUUCAGGAAAGCGUAGCAGAGAUAAGAAUUGUCUACUUCUUCUGGAGAGGACUGUAGGUCCUAAGAGAUAAAUAUGAAAGGCUUGUAUUAGAUUUUCUUUGGAAUGAAUUUUCAUAUCCUGGCUUAGUUUUCUCAGAAGUGUUUAGAUGCCUUAUUAUGUGGCUGAUGUUGCAAGCUGUGCAGUUGUGUAAGGCCCAUACUUGGAAGAUCCCCAUGCUUAGUUUAAUGCUCUGCUGUUGCCACCUUGACAUUCUUUAGAAUUUUCAAUCAAGAGGUCCAAACUGUCAUUUUGUGCUGGGUCCCAGAAUCUAUGUAACAAGACUAGCUUCUUCCAAAAUACAAAUUAAAUUUUUAAAGGAAAGCAAUUUUGCAUCAUCUAGAUGAGGCAUCAUUUCUCCCAAAUUGUGGAGUGACAAACAUAGAAAAGGAUUAAGGACAGAGUCUCUAAGUAACCAUGCCUGCUGUGAAUCUCAAGGCCUUUGAGGCUUAUCAAACAAAAUGGUAUGCAGAUUCUAUUUUUAAAACCACAGUUUUGGGUGUGUACAAUAAACCCACAGUUUAGUUAUGGAGAGGUGGGUGACACUAUCUGAUGUUAGGUGCUUUGGGGUCCUGCUUUCUAAAUAUUAUGCACAAUAAAUACACACCAGUAUGUUGUGGUUCCACAUAAAAUCAGCAGGACAGAUUAUUGCUAGGCACUUAUUUUCCCAAAGCAAAGACAACAAAUAGAAUCUCUUUGCUAUAAGUCAAGCAAAGUGAAUAGAAAUAGUCCAUUUGACAAUGCUGAUAUUUCACAGUGUGGGUAGAUCCAGUCAGUCCCUACAUAUGCCAACAUCUCUCAAUUGUAUUGAUAAACAUUCACACCAGGAUGUGUGCAGAAAAGGUAGGAUACAGUUGAUUCCUCAUCAGCCAUGUUAGUUAAAAAUAUUAAACAGGGAGAUGUUGAUUAUUUCUCCCUCAUAGUGAUAAAGAUGUUCUACUUUUAAUUAAAUGUGAUUCCUAAAUAGAGUCUAGUAAGCCAAAUUCCCCUAAAAGAACUAAAACUAAGAUUUAUUUUAUCAUUCCCUGGUUAAAUUCACAUUUAUAAAUUUCCUUUUCGUGACCACCUCAGGGUUCUUCUUCAAUUCAAUAUUAAACCAUGUACCAUCAAAUAUUAAUGAGAAAAGUCAGAUCCAUUUAUAUUUUAUGCUGAAAUGUAGCCAAUCCUUCCAUAGCGAUAAUACAAUUACGGAACUAAUUUUGAAGUGCAUAAUGGAUUUUUAAAAGUUAACUUAUCCUUACUAGCCUGCAGCCAGAUGUUAGGUUAGGUACUGGGGGAGGCGAAAAGACCCUCAUUGCUGUAGCAUAUUCACAGUUUAGCACAGGAAUACCUGAGUUGGAAUUAUCCCAUGGGACUAAUAAAUGUAUAGUUUGUUUUUGUUUUGUCUUUUCUAGGGUCCCUCCUGUGGCAUAUGGAGGUUCUCAGGCUAGGGGUCUAAUCGGAGCUGUAGCUUAUGAUUAGACCAGCCUACGCCAGAGCCACAGCAAUGCAAGAUUCGAGCUGCGUCUGUGACCUACACCGCAGGUCAUGGCAACGCCAGAUGCUCAACCCACUGAGCAAGGUCAGGGAUCUAACCUGCAACCUCAUGGUUCCUAGUAGGAUUCGUUAACCACGGAGCCAUGACUAGAACUCCCUGAAGUGUUAGACUUCAAGUCCCCUUCAAGUAGAUUAAACCCAAAGCCUCUGGCCAUGAAUUAUCAGACUCUUCUCAUUGCCUCACUUGCCUCAUUGUCAUGCCCCUUCCCCCAACUUGGGCAACCAUAUUACAAUGUUUUAAAAUU
RNAcentral lists this long non-coding RNA (3968 nucleotides) under Sus scrofa (pig). Its description in RNAcentral is "lncRNA (ENSSSCG00000060139.1)". The record is from RNAcentral. Lineage: Eukaryota; Metazoa; Chordata; Mammalia; Artiodactyla; Suidae.